This 387-nucleotide ribosomal RNA is filed under the name uncultured bacterium. RNAcentral describes it as "bacterial SSU rRNA". It matches the Rfam family "Bacterial small subunit ribosomal RNA", at positions 28 to 416 of the family's 1533-position model. The record is from RNAcentral.
GACGAACGCUGGCGGCGUGCUUAACACAUGCAAGUCGAGCGGUAAGGCCCUUUCGGGGGUACACGAGCGGCGAACGGGUGAGUAACACGUGGGUGACCUGCCCUCAGCUCUGGGAUAAGCCUGGGAAACUGGGUCUAAUACUGGAUAUGACUCCACGGUGCAUGUCGUGGGGUGGAAAGCCUUGUGCGGCUGAGGAUGGGCCCGCGGCCUAUCAGCUUGUUGGUGGGGNGAUGGCCUACCAAGGCGACGAUCGGUAGCCGGCCUGAGAGGGCGGACGGCCACACUGGGACUGAGACACGGCCCAGACUCCUACGGGAGGCAGCAGUGGGGAAUUUUUCGCAAUGGGGGAAACCCUGACGAAGCAACGCCGCGUGGAGGAUGAAGGCC